UUUUAUAUAUUAAAUUAUUUCAUGUAUCAAUCCAUACAAGCGUACGCUUUUAUUUUUUUAAUUAAAAAACUUGAUAACAUAUCUUCACGAUUAGAAAAAGUUUUAGUUUUUAUAACCUCUAUGAUAUAUUACGCGGCAAAAUUGAAUCUUUUGUACCAAAAGCUAAUAUUGGUAUAAUUACGAGUUAAUAAUAAAUCUAAAUAUAUUGUUUUUGCAGUUAAGCGAAUAAAGCAAUAAAAAUGCAUUUAAGGUUGUUGAAAGUCACAUUCCAAAAGCCAUACUACAACGAACAGUCAUUAUUCCUAUUUAUUACAAAUUUAUUUGUCAUUUUUAAACCAACAAAAUAUUAAUCGUAUUCGCUUCUUUGAAAGUUUUUUUUAACGCAUUACCUGCCACACACCAAAGGGAGGGAUUCUGGAGACUUAAGAUUAAUUGAAAUACAAGGAAGAGGAUUGUUAAGUACAAGAGAGUGAUUUUUGUCCCCAGAUUCCCUAGGCCUACAUCGACAGAACAUCAGCUGCUCUUUCUUUUCUCGUUCUUUUUUUAUUUUUUUAAUUCGAUCUGAGUAACACUUUAAAUACGUAUUUCUUGUUAAACCGAUCGAGAAUUUAUAAUGUAGCGCAUAAAGAGCCUUGGCAGUGCGCGCUGAAUUGAUUAAAUUCUUUCUUUUGUUCGGAAUAAUACAUGUGUGAGAUGAAUAACGAUCAUCUCAAGAAUGUGACUUAAAAAAUGAGCCAGUCUUAUAUUAACUAAACAUAAAAUGCAUUUAUAAAGGAAUACUAUGUAAAUGUCGUUGUAAACGACAAAAUUGUCUUUGAUGCAUUUGCAUCAGUGACUUUCUUCUUUACGUCUCGUAAAAUAGAUGAAAAGUGCUUCUUGACAAAUAUACACAUUUUGUUCAAUACUGUUGUUGUCUCUCCUAAUCUGAUGAUGGAAAAAAAA
Vespa mandarinia (Asian giant hornet) is the source of this 942-nucleotide long non-coding RNA. The record is from RefSeq and is a predicted model, not a curated record. NCBI's taxonomy places the organism in Eukaryota, Metazoa, Arthropoda, Insecta, Hymenoptera, Vespidae.